AGCUUGUGGGAGGAGAAAGGCUCCACAAGGGGUGGAAGGUUACCCGCCUUGAGAGGUGACCGGCCCCACGGGGAAUGAGACCGGGCCCAGAUUCCUACGGGAGGCAGCAGUGGGGAAUAUUGCACAAUGGGCGCAAGCCUGAUGCAGCAACGCCGCUUGAGGGAUGACGGCCUUCGGGUUGUAAACCUCUUUUAGCAGGGAAGAAGCGAAAGUGACGGUACCUGCAGAAAAAGCGCCGGCUAACUACGUGCCAGCAGCCGCGGUAAUACGUAGGGCGCAAGCGUUAUCCGGAAUUAUUGGGCGUAAAGAGCUCGUAGGCGGUUUGUCGCGUCUGCUGUGAAAUCCGGAGGCUCAACCUCCGGCCUGCAGUGGGUACGGGCAGACUAGAGUGCGGUAGGGGAGAUUGGAAUUCCUGGUGUAGCGGUGGAAUGCGCAGAUAUCAGGAGGAACACCGAUGGCGAAGGCAGAUCUCUGGGCCGUAACUGACGCUGAGGAGCGAAAGGGUGGGGAGCAAACAGGCUUAGAUACCCUGGUAGUCCACCCCGUAAACGUUGGGAACUAGUUGUGGGGUCCAUUCCACGGAUUCCGUGACGCAGCUAACGCAUUAAGUUCCCCGCCUGGGGAGUACGGCCGCAAGGCUAAAACUCAAAGGAAUUGACGGGGACCCGCACAAGCGGCGGAGCAUGCGGAUUAAUUCGAUGCAACGCGAAGAACCUUACCAAGGCUUGACAUAUACGAGAACGGGCCAGAAAUGGUCAACUCUUUGGACACUCGUAAACAGGUGGUGCAUGGUUGUCGUCAGCUCGUGUCGUGAGAUGUUGGGUUAAGUCCCGCAACGAGCGCAACCCUCGUUCUAUGUUGCCAGCACGUAAUGGUGGGAACUCAUGGGAUACUGCCGGGGUCAACUCGGAGGAAGGUGGGGAUGACGUCAAAUCAUCAUGCCCCUUAUGUCUUGGGCUUCACGCAUGCUACAAUGGCCGGUACAAAGGGCUGCAAUACCGCGAGGUGGAGCGAAUCCCAAAAAGCCGGUCCCAGUUCGGAUUGAGGUCUGCAACUCGACCUCAUGAAGUCGGAGUCGCUAGUAAUCGCAGAUCAGCAACGCUGCGGUGAAUACGUUCCCGGGUCUUGUACACACCGCCCGUCAAGUCAUGAAAGUCGGUAACACCUGAAGCCGGUACCUAACCUCUUGUGGAGCGAGACGAACAC
RNAcentral lists this ribosomal RNA (1206 nucleotides) under Microbacterium maritypicum. RNAcentral's name for it is "bacterial SSU rRNA". It matches the Rfam family "Bacterial small subunit ribosomal RNA", at positions 243 to 1460 of the family's 1533-position model. The record is from RNAcentral. Lineage: Bacteria; Bacillati; Actinomycetota; Actinomycetes; Micrococcales; Microbacteriaceae.